UACGGGGGGGGCAAGCGUUGUUCGGAAUUACUGGGCGUAAAGGGCUCGUAGGCGGCCAACUAAGUCCGACGUGAAAUCCCAAGGCUUAACCUUGGAACUGCGUCGGAUACUGGAUGGCUUGAAUUCGGGAGAGGGAUGCAGAAUUCCAGGUGUAGCGGUGAAAUGCGUAGAUAUCUGGAGGAAUACCGGUGGCGAAGGCGGCAUCCUGGACCGACAUUGACGCUGAGGAGCGAAAGCUAGGUUAGCAAACGGG
RNAcentral lists this ribosomal RNA (253 nucleotides) under uncultured bacterium. Its description in RNAcentral is "partial 16S ribosomal RNA". It matches the Rfam family "Bacterial small subunit ribosomal RNA", at positions 524 to 776 of the family's 1533-position model. The record is from RNAcentral.